RNAcentral lists this unclassified non-coding RNA (292 nucleotides) under Hevea brasiliensis (rubber tree). The record is from RNAcentral. Lineage: Eukaryota; Viridiplantae; Streptophyta; Magnoliopsida; Malpighiales; Euphorbiaceae.
CCAACUAGAAGCAUGAACGGCAUUAGCCUGCACAGCAAGGCUAUACAGUUUUAACUCCCACAAUACCAAGCAAAAUACUUUAAUUGAAAAGGGGAUACAAGCAAAUGCAUCAAUCUUGCAAUUUAAUUAUGCAGCAUUAAUGACUGGGAAAAUAUAAACCAUCAACAGUGAAGUGUCAACUUCCGUUGGUAGCUAGAAGUCUUCAUCUAUGCAAUUAUUUGAGGCACUAAACAAAAGAAACUCUUCAAACACAACUAGUCCCCGUGCAAGAGCAAAUAAUCCUUUAAAAUAU